Chrysemys picta bellii (western painted turtle) is the source of this 333-nucleotide non-coding RNA. NCBI's taxonomy places the organism in Eukaryota, Metazoa, Chordata, Testudines, Emydidae. The record is from the annotation of a RefSeq genome assembly.
AUGUCGGACAGCCGCGUGUCGGAGAACAGGGCCUGGUCACAGGUUGUUCUGACCCAGUCGGGUCCAGAACUGAAGAAGCCCGGAGAAUCCACUCGGCUGAAAUGCGCCGUGAGCGGGUUCGCUGUCUCCGGCGAUUACAUGGCUUGGGUCAGACAGGAGCCGGGAAAGGGGCUGGAGUGGCUGGUCAGCUACUGGAAACCAGGGCAGAGCGAUUAUUAUUCUCCCACCAUCAAGGGGCGAUUCACAGCCUCCAAGGACAGCUCCAAUUUCUACCUGCAAAUGAACAGCCUGAAAGCCGAGGACACUGCCGUGUAUUACUGCGCCAGAGACACA